CACAAGCCCUCUAGCUGUGUGCACCCAAUACCCAAUUGGUAGAUAGAAGAAAUGGGAGGAAAAGGGUAUGCUCUAUGGCUCUUCAUUAUUGAAAUCUUUGUCCAUUUUUCCACAUCAAGCAGUAGUAGUAGUGGCAACAAAGUUCCUGCAAUAAUAGUGUUUGGAGACUCCUCUGUGGACUCAGGUAACAACAACUUCAUUCCAACCAUUGCAAGGAGCAACUUUGAGCCAUAUGGUCGUGACUUUUUCAAUGGAAACCCUACUGGCCGGUUCUCCAAUGGACGCAUUGCCCCUGAUUUCAUCUCUGAGGCCUUUGGCAUUAAGCAAUCAGUUCCUGCAUACUUGGAUCCUGCUUAUAACAUAUCUGAUUUUGCCUCUGGGGUGUGCUUUGCUUCUGCUGGAACUGGAUAUGACAAUGCUACUGCAAUGGUUGCUGAUGUCAUACCUCUAUGGAAAGAAGUUGAGUAUUACAAGGAGUACCAAAAGAAAUUGAGGGCACAUCUUGGUGAUGAGAAUGCCAAUGAAAUAAUAAGAGAGGCUUUGUAUUUGGUCAGCAUAGGGACCAAUGACUUCCUUGAGAACUACUACACACUCCCUGAAAGAAGGUGUGAGUUCCCUAUUGUUCAGCAGUAUGAGGACUUUCUCAUAGGGCUUGCUGAAAGCUUCUUCAAGGAAAUUUAUGGCCUUGGGGCAAGGAAAAUUUCUCUGACUGGGUUGCCUCCUAUGGGGUGUCUACCACUGGAGAGAGCAGUAAACAUUUUGGAGUACCAUAAUUGUGUGGAGGACUACAAUAAUUUGGCCUUGGAGUUUAAUGGAAAGUUGGGGUGGUUGGUUACAAAGCUCAACAAGGACCUCCCUGGGUUUCAAUUGGUUGAUGCAAAUGCUUAUGAUAUCAUACUGCAAAUCGUUAAACACCCUUCUCGUUUUGGUUUUGAGGUAGCAGAUACAGGAUGCUGUGGAACAGGGAGAUUUGAAAUGGGUUUCUUGUGCGAUCCUAAAUUUACAUGCGAAGAUGCAAAUGUUACAUAGUUGUGGGAUGAGAUUAUCUGCCCUCAAUAUGCUCCACAAGUUGAACAACCUCCGGCUAAUUUUGAAAGUACUCCAACUCCUAAUGUUGAAGGUACUCCAACUCCAACUACCACUCAAGGAAACAAACUUCAUACCUCCACCAUUGUUAACUAUGUUUAGACCACCUCCAAUUAGGCCUUCAACAUCAAUUUGAAUUAUAUUUCCAGAUGUAUCAUUUCAUGGGAUGAACCAACUGAAUUACAUAAGCUUCAUACCCACACCAAGGCUGCCUCGCCACCAAGAUUCAAAGAAGUGAAAUAUGAGAUAUGUUUGUCUUUUGUUUAUAGUAGAUUCUGACUAAUUAUUAUAAUUUGAAUAAAUUUGUAAUAAUUAGUACACAAUUACAAUGUUUAUUUUUGUACAAUGGUAGAAUGUUUAUUUUGAAAAAUUUCUAUCGUGAUAGCAUUAUGUAAUGGUAAAAUCAAGUU
Glycine soja is the source of this 1496-nucleotide RNA transcript. It is a transcript of the gene named GDSL esterase/lipase At2g42990-like, with no coding region annotated. Lineage: Eukaryota; Viridiplantae; Streptophyta; Magnoliopsida; Fabales; Fabaceae. The transcript has 5 exons. The record is from RefSeq and is a predicted model, not a curated record.